GAACCUGAUAGGAAACGCCCUUAGAAAUGGACUGAUUGUACCUUCAUCUGUGAUUCACUACAAACUGACUUCCAGAUCUAAAGAAAGAGGCUGACUGACAAGACAAGACAAUGGAAGGUGAGAAGUUGUGCGGAGCAAGUCCGUUUCUACAGACUGGGACAGUGGAGCAAGAUGGUAAAGUGGGAGCAUCAGCAGCAGGAGACAGGCACGUGACUUAGGCACUCUUCGUCUGUGCUCUGGUGGCCAUAGCUCUCUACAGAUGCCCAGUGACAGUUAGUGCAGUUUCAUCUGAACUUUGCUUCCCCAUCCUGGGUCUCCUUCCCAGAGACUCCUGUUAUUGUGUUUUAGAAUUAAAUUUAUUUCUGACAACAGCUUAGGAUGUUUUCUGGUGUUACCUGUGGCCCCAAAGGGUAAUCUCUGGGCCACCUGCAUCAAAACUUUCCUGGAGUGUUCCAUAACAUUCAGAAUCCUGUAUACAAGAAGAUCUGUGAGUGCAGGAAUGGCCUGCAGCUCUCUUUUACACAUGCAACUUUGAGGCCCAAAGGAGUAGGAAUGGUUUGCUGGAGACACCCAAAGUGAACUUGAAACAGCAGGAGAAAGAGUAAGACAGCUUGGCAUAAUUACUUUCCCACUUUUUUCUAAACUUUGGAAGUGACUCAGAGUUCCUCAGAACAGCUCCUGGCACUAGUGUUCGGUCAUUGUUGAGUUUGGAGUAAGUGUUCCUUUUAGAUAUUUCCUUGUGAGCUCAAUAACCUGAAGCAACCUCUUUUUAUAUUGAUAGAGGAGAGUCAUUUAAUGAGGAGGCUCAGUUUUACAGGUUGGAAUUAGAGUGAAAAGUAUUAAACCACAAUCUAACAUGGGGCACAAAGAAACAGGACUUUCUGUUUCUGAAGUCGGAAACAAACUAAAGCAAACAUGAAAGAAAAACAGCAAAGCAUCUCCUGAAAGCUUGUUCUUUUUGCUUAAAAUCUCCCCACUGCCCAACCCCUGGGCCUUUGCAGUUCUGAGAUGAAUAAGCUCUGGGGACCUGGUGUACAGCUUGAUCCGUGUUGUUAUUAGGAGUGCAUACUCAAAAUUCACCACGAGGGCUGACCUUGACGAAUGUAACCACGCGAGGUGUGGUGUCUGGUGGCUCGAUUGUGGUGAUCAUUUCACAGUGGAGGCAUGUGUGCAAACACCACUCUGUGUAACUAAAA
This is a long non-coding RNA of Perognathus longimembris pacificus (Pacific pocket mouse), 1196 nucleotides long. RefSeq lists it as uncharacterized. The record is from RefSeq and is a predicted model, not a curated record. NCBI's taxonomy places the organism in Eukaryota, Metazoa, Chordata, Mammalia, Rodentia, Heteromyidae. The transcript has 3 exons.